Molecule: long non-coding RNA, 585 nt
Organism: Mus musculus (house mouse)
Lineage: Eukaryota; Metazoa; Chordata; Mammalia; Rodentia; Muridae
Product: predicted gene, 33501
Exons: 3
Source: RefSeq, a predicted model, not a curated record
UCUGGGCAUAUAAAUAAAGAAAAUGACGUUGGCAUUCCAAACAACACCUUCCAUGAAACUAAUCAUUAAGUAGCCAAGACAAGGAAUCUGUGAAGAUUAGCCCAGGAUGAGUGCAUCAGAAGAAUAUGCAGUCUGUGUCCAUGAUGGAAUAUCCUUCAUCUUUAGAGAAGAAUGGAACCCUGCCUUUUAAAACAAAGUAGAUACAACGGAAGCCAUUCAGUGACGUGAUCCAUACACAAUAAGACUGAUGUCUUCUCUCUCAUAUGGGAAGGCCACAAGAAUCAAGGUUCAACACUGAUUGACAGGAACUGAAUCAUCAAGUCAGGCAUUUGUUAUUUGUGCUCCUGCUUUUCACUCCUCUCAGAUCUCCGCUGAGGUCCUCGACAACCCAGAGAGACCAUAAUCCCUACAUGAGCCACUCUUAGCUCUCCCAGGCUCAGCUGUUUCUGCAACUGAUUUCCUAUCUUGGAAUGUCAAGUGCCACUCCCUGCCCAGCCUGUCUCCUGCUGGGAUGUAUUAGCAGAGACUGGAGUUCUGGAGGAUGAAGAUCCAUGUCAAGAUGUGCUUGUUUACAACAUACUGAUA